Long non-coding RNA from Alosa sapidissima (American shad), 1359 nucleotides. RefSeq lists it as uncharacterized. Lineage: Eukaryota; Metazoa; Chordata; Actinopteri; Clupeiformes; Clupeidae. The record is from RefSeq and is a predicted model, not a curated record. The transcript is spliced from 3 exons.
UGGGUUCUUCUACAUGGUGGUAUAAGAGUAGAAAUGACAGUAUAGACAUUGAUGACAAUUGCCAUGAUACACCUCACAACUGGGUUAUCAUUUUUCAUCAUAUCUCGUACACUACAUACAAGGACGAAAUGCUUCCAUAAUAGCAUCUCUGCAGACUCGCUCCAUUUAAAUAUCAAGCAUUCAUCUAUGACCUUUUUAAAUCGCUUUCUAAAACAGCUGGCGUUUCUGAGCCUACAGCGCACACCCCGCAGUUUGAGUGUCAUGAGCGAGAUAGAGGAAGCCUGGCAGGUGCCCAGGGCACGGCAGGAGAUGCCACUGCAUGACCGGGGCCUACAGACACACCAGCUGACUGCUCCAAUUUGAGGGAUUGGCAGUUGGUGCGACAUCGGCAAAAAGUGCCUUAUUAGCAUGGACAGUUCAAUUCGAAGACGUAGAGCUGCAAAUCACAGCAAUUAAUUUCUAUCUGAUUCUUGGGAGAAGUGACCAUGAAUAUAUUAAGGUCUCCCAGCCCCUCUCACCUGAGUCAGGUCCACUCCUGUGAGGGCAUUGACGGACACGGGGAGCUCGGCUAGCAGGCGGUUCACUUCCCCAGUCACCCGGCUGUUCUCCCCACUCAGAAUGAUGAUCUCAUUGGUCCUGGCCAGAGGAGCGGCCACUUUGGCAGCGAUCUGUUGAGACGGGAAAAGUAAGUAUAAGCAAGGCAUGAAAAUAACCCCAAUGCUCUUGAGAGACGAGGAACCUGACAUGGCUUUGUUCUUGCGCGAAGCCCACAUCUUGGUUCCCGGCGUGCCUGUGUGGAGCCUCUGCCUGCACACACAUACCGACAGAUGUCAGAGAAAUCUUGAGGAUAAAGAUUUACCAUAAUUACUCUCUUACCAGUCCCCCCCCCCCCCCCCACACACACACACACGCCAACUGUACAGACCCUGCUCCACCACAGCAGAACAUUAACAACCAUUUUGGGUGAUGGCAGCAAUUAUCAAGUGCAACUCCACAAUUACCAUCUUGUCCACCGCCGUCAGGAUCUCAGGGCAAGGGGUUCUCAUGACAGUCACUGGAGGUGUCAUUUAUUUUUUGUCUUGUUUAACAACAUGCUGAUGUUCUCACUGAUACUGUUACUUCUGUAUCAGAGAUUUGCUGCUGCAUGUCUUCACUGUGCUUUUUUUAAAGUGUGCAUGUCAGUUAUCUAGGGCACACCGAUAUAACAGAUGCGUUAACUGAGCCUGAAGGUCUUUUUGCUGUUUUUUCUUUCAGGUGUAGCCCUCAUGGGAAAGCUAUGCGUGCACAGGUUUUAUAUAGGACAAAGGGGAAUUGUAACACUGUGAUUAUAUCUUAACAGUAAACCAAACAUCAAAUAAA